This is a long non-coding RNA of Suricata suricatta (meerkat), 2177 nucleotides long. RefSeq lists it as uncharacterized. Lineage: Eukaryota; Metazoa; Chordata; Mammalia; Carnivora; Herpestidae. The transcript has 5 exons. The record is from RefSeq and is a predicted model, not a curated record.
CCUCCUCCCCUGGGGUCAUGGGCGGAGCACCAGAGUGGUGUUUGGGUCAGGCUACAGGAAUGCUCCCGCCAGCAGAAUUCUCAGAUGGAGAAAUCCCUCGUGCAGAGUCAAAGAUGCCCCACUGAGGCUGUUUAGCCUAGAAACACUUAGGAACCCACCGUGCUCCUAUGGCCAAGGUUACAGUGUCUCAUCAGACUGCUAGCACUUCAGGGCUGGGCUGCACAGCUGUGCUCAGCAAACGACACCACUGAGGACAGAGGCGGGACAUUCCCCAUGGUAGACAUUACUAUCUCCAUUCUAUGGAUCAGCUCACCGAGGCUCGAUGAGAGGACUCUCCCAAGAUCCUGCAGCCCUAAUCGGAACCUGGCUGCCUCUGAUUCCACAGCCUAGCCUCCACACACCACACUGCCUCCUGCCAUCCUCAGCUCUUGAUUCCUGGGACGAGAGGGAGAAGGAGGGGCUUUGAUAGGCUGGGUGGGGGUGGUGACUGGAGAGAGGAACUAAAAUUCCUAGAGAAUCUACGUUUAUCUAAUCCUGUUCAUAAUUUUAUGAGUGGAUAUUUUUAUCCCCAUUCUACAGAUAGGGAGCUCAGGCUCAAGGAAGCCAGGGGUCUGUGGGUGAAGUGAAUUCCCAGGCUUAGAUGGCUAGCCUAUGAGAGCAAUUUCACUGCAGCUCAAGUCCGUCUGCGGUCAAAGCCGGUACUGGUCCACUGAGCCAUGUCACUGCCGGGGCCAGCUGCCAGAAACAGGUUCCUGGGCAUUUCCUGUUUCCUCCAGGCCUGGACCAGUGCCCUAGCUCUUUGCAGGGCAUCUCUAGGAACUGGCCAGGCCCCCUCCCUGCUCUGCUAGGUGGAGGAGGAGGACAGACUUUAACAGUCACCUGGGACUCUGUCUUCAUGGUGCACACUGACAGGUGGUCUCCUGGGCAGCGUGACUCGCUUUAGGGGAAGGGGCUGCCUGCUCAGCAGGGUUCCAUCUCAGGCUGCUAAGUUGGUGAGGUUGUGAGGGUCUCAAACCCACUUCCCAGUUUUCUCUCAGCGCAGCCCGGUCAUGCAGGAGCAUGCAGGAAAGGCCUCCCUCGAGGGUCCCGCCAUGCAGUGUGGAUGGCUGGAUGGACACAGAUCAUGAGAUUGGAAGGGCCUCCAUGUCACCGGGCCUGAGAGGGCUCACCUACCUGGAGAGACUCCCCAUUCUGGAGGCCUUACCUUAAAGAGGGACAUUCACACUGAAGCAAACUUGAAAAGAGAGAACACGUACACAAAGAGAAGUUUACUUGGCCGGCAUUUCCCUCAUUGCCCUUGGCUUUCACUGAGGAUAGCUAGGUGUCUGGGGAGGCAGAUCUCCCCCUCUUCCACUGGCUUCCCCCAGUUCUAGCGCUGGAGCCCUGGGAGCCAUAAUCUCAGAGCCUAAUGCCUUUGUGGGCGCAAGAGUGUGCGGGAAAGAAACCUGGAGGGAGAAAAUACCUCCAAGAUCUGCACGGGCAUAUGAUGCCAUUCAACCACACCAAACCUGUCACUCUGCCCUCUCCAGUCCCUGAAGAAGAGAGAGGUCUCUGGGAUACAAAUGACAUCAGAUACUUAAAGAACUUGAAUACAUCUUUAAAGACCUGUACCUGAGAACUCUGUACGGAUCGACAUUAUUCGGCUUGAAAUCGGGCCAGAGACACCUGUUGCACAACGUCUUCCGCCACAGAGAUGCUGUCAUGGACGCAGGUGCACCACGCCUGUGUCUCUUGCCCGUCAUAGGCUCCUGCAGGUAGCAGGGAAGGACGCAGGGUCCAGAGCCCAGUAUGCAAGUGGCAGAAGUGACCCCAGCAUGGUUUGGGUUGGUUCUGCUGCCUCUGAAAUGCAGAGCUCCCUGUCAGGAAACACAAACAUGUCCCUGGACCACGGAAAGCAACUCAUGCUUCAACUCCCCACUGAGACCACCUGCAAUGCCUCCCUUUCAGCUGCAGCACAGGGUCAGAGGAGCAAGAUGCAGACUGAGAGAGACAUGAGCAAGCUGUGAACGACUGAGAGCAAGCGAGGGCCGUCUCACAUCAAGCACCGAGCACGGCGCGCCGAGUGAGACUUGAACAGAAUGUCGGUCUUCUUUAAAUUGUGACAAGGUCGAGUUCACCUGAGCCCUGUGCUUUUGGAAAAGAAACUACAGUUAAUAAAUCUCCCCAUUUUUUUGCAU